RNAcentral lists this non-coding RNA (65 nucleotides) under unclassified sequences. RNAcentral's name for it is "GP20-b RNA". It matches the Rfam family "GP20-b RNA". The record is from RNAcentral.
GGCCAGAUGAUCAGGCCUAAAACGGUCAAUCACGGGGGCGAUGGUUAAGGCCCUAAAACAACCUA